Molecule: ribosomal RNA, 497 nt
Filed under: uncultured bacterium
Lineage: Bacteria
Description: partial 16S ribosomal RNA
Rfam family: Bacterial small subunit ribosomal RNA
Source: RNAcentral
GAUGAACGCUGGCGGCGUGCCUAAUACAUGCAAGUCGAGCGAACAGACGAGGAGCUUGCUCCUCUGACGUUAGCGGCGGACGGGUGAGUAACACGUGGAUAACCUACCUAUAAGACUGGGAUAACUUCGGGAAACCGGAGCUAAUACCGGAUAAUAUAUUGAACCGCAUGGUUCAAUAGUGAAAGACGGUUUUGCUGUCACUUAUAGAUGGAUCCGCGCCGCAUUAGCUAGUUGGUAAGGUAACGGCUUACCAAGGCAACGAUGCGUAGCCGACCUGAGAGGGUGAUCGGCAACACUGGAACGGAGACACGGUCCAGACUCCUACGGGAGGCAGCAGUAGGGAAUCUUCCGCAAUGGGCGAAAGCCUGACGGAGCAACGCCGCGUGAGUGAUGAAGGUCUUCGGAUCGUAAAACUCUGUUAUUAGGGAAGAACAAAUGUGUAAGUAACUAUGCACGUCUUGACGGUACCUAAUCAGAAAGCCACGGCUAACUACGUG